UGGGGAAUAUUGGACAAUGGGCGAAAGCCUGAUCCAGCCAUGCCGCGUGUGUGAAGAAGGUCUUCGGAUUGUAAAGCACUUUAAGUUGGGAGGAAGGGCAGUAAGCGAAUACCUUGCUGUUUUGACGUUACCGACAGAAUAAGCACCGGCUAACUCUGUGCCAGCAGCCGCGGUAAUACAGAGGGUGCAAGCGUUAAUCGGAAUUACUGGGCGUAAAGCGCGCGUAGGUGGUUCGUUAAGUUGAAUGUGAAAGCCCCGGGCUCAACCUGGGAACUGCAUCCAAAACUGGCGAGCGAGAGUUGGGCAGAGGGUGGUGGAAUUUCCUGUGUAGCGGUGAAAUGCGUAGAUAUAGGAAAGCACACCAGUGGCGAAGGCGACCACCUGGGCUCAUACUGACACUGAGGUGCGAAAGCGUGGGGAGCAAACAGG
RNAcentral lists this ribosomal RNA (429 nucleotides) under Pseudomonadota bacterium. Its description in RNAcentral is "Proteobacteria bacterium partial 16S ribosomal RNA". It matches the Rfam family "Bacterial small subunit ribosomal RNA", at positions 355 to 776 of the family's 1533-position model. The record is from RNAcentral. Lineage: Bacteria; Pseudomonadati; Pseudomonadota.